This 452-nucleotide ribosomal RNA is filed under the name uncultured bacterium. RNAcentral describes it as "partial 16S ribosomal RNA". It matches the Rfam family "Bacterial small subunit ribosomal RNA", at positions 29 to 523 of the family's 1533-position model. The record is from RNAcentral.
AACGAACGCUGGCGGUAUGCUUAACACAUGCAAGUCGAACGGGUGUAGCAAUACAUCAGUGGCAAACGGGUGAGUAAUACAGAGGAAUCUACCUAGCAGUAAGGAAUAACUCUGAGAAAUCAGAGCUAAUACCAUAUAUUACCCUUCGGGGGAAAGAUUUAUCGCUGGUAGAUGAGCCUCUGCCGGAUUAGCUAGUUGGUAGGGUAAUGGCCUACCAAGGCAAUGAUCCGUAGCUGGUCUGAGAGGAUGAUCAGCCACACUGGAACUGAGACACGGUCCAGACUCCUACGGGAGGCAGCAGAGGGGAAUAGUGGACAAUGGGCGCAAGCCUGAUCCAGCAAUGCCGCGUGAGUGAUGAAGGGCUUCGUAUUGUAAAGCUCUUUUAGUAGAGAAGAUAAUGACGGUAUCUACAGAAAAAGCACCGGCUAACUUCGUGCCAGCAGCCGCAGUAA